This 857-nucleotide unclassified non-coding RNA is filed under the name Homo sapiens (human). Its description in RNAcentral is "BCL2-like 12 (proline rich), transcript variant 48". Lineage: Eukaryota; Metazoa; Chordata; Mammalia; Primates; Hominidae. The record is from RNAcentral.
AUGGGACGGCCCGCUGGGCUGUUCCCGCCCCUAUGCCCUUUUUUGGGUUUCCGGCCAGAGGCAUGCUGGGAGCGUCACAUGCAAAUUGAGCGUGCACCCAGCGUUCCGCCCUUUCUACGCUGGGCCGGUUAUCGACCCGGCCCAGUGCGCAGGCGCGGGAAAGUUGAACUAAUAAAGUUUGUACGAGUUCAGUGGAGGAGACCGCAAGUUGAGUGGAGGAGGCGGCGGUGGGGCCCCGGACCAGGUGCCUCCAUGGCAGGCUCUGAAGAGCUGGGGCUCCGGGAAGACACGCUGAGGGUCCUAGCUGCCUUCCUUAGGCGUGGUGAGGCUGCCGGGUCUCCUGUUCCAACUCCACCUAGAAGCCCUGCCCAAGAAGAGCCAACAGACUUCCUGAGCCGCCUUCGAAGAUGUCUUCCCUGCUCCCUGGGGCGAGGAGCAGCCCCCUCUGAGUCCCCUCGGCCUUGCUCUCUGCCCAUCCGCCCCUGCUAUGGUUUAGAGCCUGGUAAGAGAUUUCCAUGAUCAUCUAUGAAGCCGGCAGAACACGGGAUAAGGCCCAGCUACUCCAGACUUCUAUGCUUUGGUGGCCCAGCGGCUGGAACAGCUGGUCCAAGAGCAGCUGAAAUCUCCGCCCAGCCCAGGAGGGCAUCCUGGCUGUUUCACCCGUGGACUUGAACUUGCCAUUGGACUGAGCUCUUUCUCAGAAGCUGCUACAAGAUGACACCUCAUGUCCCUGCCCUCUUCGUGUGCUUUUCCAAGUCUUCCUAUUCCACUCAGGGCUGUGGGGUGGUGGUUGCCCUACCUGUUUUUGCCAAAAAUAAAUUGUUUAAAACUUUUCUUAUUAAAAACGUUACAAAGUA